GUGGAUUAGAUACCCUGGUAGUCCACGCCGUAAACGAUGAUAACUAGCUGUCCGGGUGCAUGGCACUUGGGUGGCGCAGCUAACGCAUUAAGUUAUCCGCCUGGGGAGUACGGUCGCAAGAUUAAAACUCAAAGGAAUUGACGGGGGCCUGCACAAGCGGUGGAGCAUGUGGUUUAAUUCGAAGCAACGCGCAGAACCUUACCAGCGUUUGACAUCCUCAUCGCGAUUGCCAGAGAUGGCUUUCUUCAGUUCGGCUGGAUGAGUGACAGGUGCUGCACGGCCGUCGUCAACU
This 292-nucleotide ribosomal RNA is filed under the name uncultured bacterium. RNAcentral's name for it is "partial 16S ribosomal RNA". It matches the Rfam family "Bacterial small subunit ribosomal RNA", at positions 773 to 1060 of the family's 1533-position model. The record is from RNAcentral.